UUGACCACAACUAAAGCGUCUGUUUCCUUUUGGAAACGAACAGAGGAGUUAAUUGCUUUGCUCCAACCACUAAUUAGUAUCCCUAAAGUUGUCAGUUUAUCCUUGCAAACUAUACACGGCAAUGACCGCUUAGCUUUAACGUUAUGCUUAUACGUAUAGCUACUCUUUGGAUAUAACAUGAACUUAUUACAACAAAUUAGGAAGGGUGCUAUUUUCCAUAUUUCAGAAGGAAUAAUCGGGAAACGUGAUAUGUUGAACAACACUGUGGAGAGGAAGUUUCUAAAAUGAUUAUUUUAAUUCGCCCUAUUCGCUUUGGUGGCUGUAGCCCUAGCGGCUCCCAACCCCAAGCCCGCGCCUGCGCCGGCGCCCGCGCCCGCCCCGCAGUUCCUGACGUACAGCGCGGGCCUGGACU
Molecule: RNA transcript, 412 nt
Organism: Amyelois transitella
Lineage: Eukaryota; Metazoa; Arthropoda; Insecta; Lepidoptera; Pyralidae
Gene name: neuropeptide-like 3
Exons: 2
Source: RefSeq, a predicted model, not a curated record